Molecule: RNA transcript, 697 nt
Organism: Aplysia californica (California sea hare)
Lineage: Eukaryota; Metazoa; Mollusca; Gastropoda; Aplysiida; Aplysiidae
Gene name: growth arrest-specific protein 6
Exons: 4
Source: RefSeq, a predicted model, not a curated record
UCAGAAAUAUGUCCUUUUGGUACGUUCCGUCAAGAAGAACAACGUAAACCAGUGUCACAUAAGCUUAAAAAUGUAUCUUUUUUUUAGUAUUGAAACAUAAUACAUUGUAUUUCCAGAUAUAGACGAGUGUGCAGUCAGCAAUGGCGGGUGUAGUCAGGUGUGUGAUAACCAGCCUGGCACCUUCCGAUGUCUCUGUAAUAGCGGCUAUACUCUGGCCUCUGACAGUAGAGCUUGUGAUGAUAUAGACGAAUGUGCAGUCAGCAAUGGCGGGUGUAGUCAGGUGUGUGAUAACCAGCCUGGCACCUUCCGAUGCCUCUGUAACAGUGGCUAUACCCUGGCCUCUGACAGAAGAGCAUGCGAUGAUAUAGACGAGUGUGCAGUCAGCAAUGGCGGGUGUAGUCAGGUGUGUGAUAACCAGCCUGGCACCUUCCGAUGUCUCUGCAACAGUGGCUAUACCCUGGCCUCUGACAGUAUAGCAUGUAAUGAUAUAGACGAGUGUGCAUUCAGCAAUGGAGGGUGUAGUCAGGUGUGUGAUAACCAGCCUGGCACCUUCCGAUGUCUCUGUAACAGUGGCUAUACUCUGGCCUCUGACAGUAUAGCAUGUGAUGGUGAGUGAUGGCAAAAGUACCAGGCAAUGAAGAGAAAAGGACACAUAUUUCUGAGUUCAGUGCUUAAGUGGAUGUCUUUCUUCAUAAGA